Molecule: ribosomal RNA, 426 nt
Filed under: uncultured bacterium
Lineage: Bacteria
Description: bacterial SSU rRNA
Rfam family: Bacterial small subunit ribosomal RNA
Source: RNAcentral
GUUUGAUCCUGGCUCAGAGCGAACGUUAGCGGCGGGGCCUAACACAUGCAAGUCGAACGGGCUGUAGCAAUACAGUCAGUGGCGCACGGGUGAGUAACGCGUAGAUAAUCUACCUUCCGGCGGGGGAUAACAUUCCGAAAGGAAUGCUAAUACCGCAUAAGACCACGGGGUCCUCGGGCCCUGAGGGAAAAGGUGGCCUCUCCUUGGAAGCCAUCACCGGAAGAUGAGUCUGCGUCCCAUCAGCUAGUUGGUAAGGUAAUGGCUUACCAAGGCGAAGACGGGUAGCUGGUCUGAGAGGAUGAUCAGCCACACUGGUACUGGAACACGGACCAGACUCCUACGGGAGGCAGCAGUGGGGAAUAUUGGGCAAUGGGCGAAAGCCUGACCCAGCCACGCCGCGUGAGUGAUGAAGGCCUCGGUUGUAAG